This 406-nucleotide ribosomal RNA is filed under the name uncultured bacterium. RNAcentral's name for it is "partial 16S ribosomal RNA". It matches the Rfam family "Bacterial small subunit ribosomal RNA", at positions 30 to 526 of the family's 1533-position model. The record is from RNAcentral.
AUUGAACGCUGGCGGCAGGCCUAACACAUGCAAGUCGAACGAGUGGCGGACGGGUGAGUAAUGUCUGGGAAACUGCCUGAUGGAGGGGGAUAACUACUGGAAACGGUAGCUAAUACCGCAUACCAUCGGAUGUGCCCAGAUGGGAUUAGCUAGUAGGUGGGGUAACGGCUCACCUAGGCGACGAUCCCUAGCUGGUCUGAGAGGGUGACCAGGCACACUGGAAAUGAGACCCGGUCCAGACUCCUACGGGAGGCAGCAGUGGGGAAUAUUGCACAAUGGGCGAAAGCCUGAUGCAGCCAUGCCGCGUGUAUGAAGAAGGCCUUCGGGUUGUAAAGUACUUUCAGCGAGGAGGCGUUACUCGCAGAAGAAGCACCGGCUAACUCCGUGCCAGCAGCCGCGGUAAUUC